Molecule: long non-coding RNA, 311 nt
Organism: Pogoniulus pusillus (Red-fronted tinkerbird)
Lineage: Eukaryota; Metazoa; Chordata; Aves; Piciformes; Lybiidae
Exons: 3
Source: RefSeq, a predicted model, not a curated record
AAUGCUAGUAGAGAAAAUACUUUCAGGGGUUUGGGCACUUAAGGUCACUUUGGGAGGUAAAUGCCUCUCUGCUGUGCUGAGGUAGCAGAGUAUUGACAAACUGGAGAAGACAGAUGGAAACAAGGAGAAGAAAAGGCCACUCCGAAUUGAGAAGCUCUUCUAUGCUCACAGGAGUGAUGUUCAUACCAGGUUUGGCAUCUCUGCUGUUUUCCAGCCAGGGAUGAACAUGUUGUACUAUUUUUAAUCACACUCUGGAUCCAUCCCUGGCUUGCUUCUAAAGAUAAACGAAACCACAUGCCAGUCCUUACAUA